RNAcentral lists this ribosomal RNA (254 nucleotides) under uncultured bacterium. RNAcentral's name for it is "partial 16S ribosomal RNA". It matches the Rfam family "Bacterial small subunit ribosomal RNA", at positions 524 to 776 of the family's 1533-position model. The record is from RNAcentral.
UACGUAGGGUGCAAGCGUUGUCCGGAAUUAUUGGGCGUAAAGAGCUCGUAGGCGGUUCGUCGCGUCGGCUGUGAAAACCUGAGGCUCAACCUCAGGCCUGCAGUCGAUACGGGCGGACUUGAGUACUGCAGGGGAGACUGGAAGUUCCUGGUGUAGCGGUGAAAUGCGCAGAUAUCAGGAGGAACACCGGUGGCGAAGGCGGGUCUCUGGGCCUUACCUGACGCUGAGGAGCGAAAGCGUGGGGAGCGAACAGG